AUGGCCCAGAUGCUGCUGCACGGGGUGGUUGACGCCAAGAUCCUGGAGGCCGACCUGUCCGUCACCUCCGACGGCCAGCUCCGACCCACCCGCAAGACCGUUAUGAAGAAGAGAGUCUUCUCAUGGAUCAAGAAGUUGUCAUUCUGCAACAACACUCAGAGAAACGCGCGCUUGCAGCAGCUGGAGAACGCCAUCGGGCUCGGCGGCACGGCGGGCAAGCUGUACGCGACGGUGGACAUCGACAAGGCGCGCGUCGGCCGGACGCGCAUGGUGAGCCCGACCAACGCGCCCAGGUGGGACGAGUCGUUCCACGUCUACUGCGCCCACGACGCCAGCCACAUCAUCUUCACCGUCAAGGCCGACAACACCGUCGGCGCCACGCUCAUCGGCCGCGCCUACCUCCCCACCGGCGGCGACGUGCUCGCGGGCCAGCGGGUCGACCAGUGGCUCCCCAUCUGCGACGACAAGCGCCGCCCGCUCGACGGCGGGGACAGGAUCCACGUCCAGCUCCGCUUCACCGACGUCGCCGACGACCCGGCGGCCCGCUGGGGCGCCGGCGUCGGCUCCGCGGCCUACCCGGGCGUGCCGCGCACCUUCUUCGGCCAGCGCCGCGGCUGCCGCGUCAGGCUCUACCAGGACGCCCACAUCUCCGACGGCUUCGCGCAGCGGGUCCAGGUCACGCUCGCCGGAGGGAAGCCGUACCAGCCGCGCCGGUGCUGGGAGGACGUGUUCGAGGCGAUCACCAACGCCCGGAGGAUGGUCUACAUCGCCGGGUGGUCCGUCAACACCGGCGUCGCGCUGGUGCGCGACCCGCGUAAGCCGUCUUCGGGAACGCUCGGCGAGCUGCUCAAGAGGAAGGCGGCCGAAGGCGUCAGGGUGCUGAUGCUGGUGUGGGACGACCGGACGUCGCUGGGCCUCGGCCCGAUCCGGCGCGACGGUCUCAUGGCCACGCACGACGAGGACACGGCCACCUACUUCCGUGGCACGGGCGUGCGCUGCAUCCUGUGCCCGCGGAACCCCGACCAGGGCAGGAGCUACGUGCAGGACGUGGAGACGGCGGCCAUGUUCACCCACCACCAGAAGACGGUGAUCGUCGACAGCAGCCGCAACGCCGCAGCCAACGCGUCGCCGGGCCUCGUCAGCUUCCUCGGCGGCAUCGACCUCUGCGACGGGCGGUACGACACGCAGGAGCACCCUCUGUUCCGGACGCUCGGCACCACGCACCGCGACGACUUCCACCAGCCCAACUUCCCCGGGGCGUCCAUCAGCAAGGGCGGGCCGAGGGAGCCGUGGCACGACAUCCACUGCCGCGUCGAGGGACCGGCGGCGUGGGACGUGCUCGACAACUUCGAGCAGCGCUGGCGCAAGCAGGGCGACGGCGACAACCACCUCGUCACCCUCGACCGGGGCUGGGCGGCGCGCGAGGCGGUCCAGGACGCCGACUCGUGGAACGUCCAGGUGUUCCGGUCCAUCGACGGCGGCGCGGCGGCGGGGUUCCCGGAGAAGCCCGAGGAGGCGGCGCUGAUCGGCCUCGAGACGGGCAAGGACCACGUCAUCGAGCGCAGCAUCCAGGACGCCUACAUCCACGCCAUCCGCCGCGCCCGCGACUUCGUCUACAUCGAGAACCAGUACUUCCUGGGGAGCUCCUACGCGUGGCGCCGCGACGACGGCGUCACCGUGGAGGACAUCAACGCGCUGCACCUCAUCCCCAAGGAGCUGUCGCUCAAGAUCGUCAGCAAGAUCGAGGCCGGCGAGCGCUUCGCCGUCUACGUGGUGGUGCCCAUGUGGCCCGAGGGCGUGCCGGAGAGCGGCUCCGUGCAGGCCAUCCUCGACUGGCAGCGCCGGACCAUGGAGAUGAUGUACAAGGACGUGGCGCUCGCCAUCCAGUCCAAGGGCAUCCAGGCCAGCCCCACCGACUACCUCACCUUCUUCUGCCUCGGCAACCGGGAGGCGCCCAGCCCCGGCGAGUACGUGCCGCCGGAGAGGCCCGACCCCGACACCGACUACGACAGGGCGCAGCAGGCCAGGCGUUUCAUGAUCUACGUCCAUGCCAAGACCAUGAUAGUGGACGAUGAGUAUGUCAUCGUGGGAUCGGCCAACAUCAACCAACGCUCCAUGGACGGCGGCCGGGACUCGGAGAUCGCCAUGGGCGCGUACCAGCCGGGCUACCUCGCGUCCACCAACCGGCCGGCGAGGGGGCAGGUGCACGGCCUACGACUUGCCCUGUGGCAGGAGCACCUGGGCCAGGCCGCGGCAACCGUCGACCUCCUCCAGCCAUCGAGCCUGGCGUGCGUGCGCAGGGUGAACGAGGUGGCGCAGCAGCACUGGGACAUGUUCGCGAGCGAUGCGCCGCCCCAGGGAGACCUGCCGGGCCACCUCCUGGCUUAUCCCAUCGGCGUGAGCGAAGGCGGAGAGCUGCUGGAGACGACGGCAUUCUUCCCCGACACCAAGGCCAGGGUGCUCGGCAACAAGUCCACCUACCUCCCCCCGAUCCUCACAACGUGA
Molecule: ribosomal RNA, 2505 nt
Filed under: Triticum aestivum (bread wheat)
Lineage: Eukaryota; Viridiplantae; Streptophyta; Magnoliopsida; Poales; Poaceae
Description: partial small subunit ribosomal RNA
Source: RNAcentral